AAGCUUCGGCGGUCAGAGAUGGGCAUGCGUAACAUUAGCUGGUUGGUGAGGUAACAGCUCACCAAUGCUACGAUGUUUAGGGGGUCUGAGAGGAUGGUCCCCCACACUGGUACUGAGACACGGACCAGACUCCUACGGGAGGCAGCAGUGAGGAAUAUUGGUCAAUGGGCGAAAGCCUGAACCAGCCAUGCCGCGUGAAGGAUGACGGCCCUAUGGGUUGUAAACUUCUUUUAUACGGGAAGAAACCCCUCUACGUGUAGGGGGCUGACGGUACCGUACGAAUAAGCAUCGGCUAACUCCGUGCCAGCAGCCGCGGUAAUACGGAGGAUGCAAGCGUUAUCCGGAUUUAUUGGGUUUAAAGGGUGCGUAGGCGGAAAAUUAAGUCAGUGGUGAAAUCCUGCAGCUUAACUGUAGAAUUGCCAUUGAUACUGGUUUUCUUGAAUACAGUUGAGGUAGGCGGAAUGAGUAAUGUAGCGGUGAAAUGCUUAGAUAUUACUCAGAACACCAAUUGCGAAGGCAGCUUACUAAACUGUGAUUGACGCUGAGGCACGAAAGCGUGGGGAGCGAACAGGAUUAGAUACCCUGGUAGUCCACGCCGUAAACGAUGAUCACUCGUUGUUGGCAAUACACCGUCAGCGACUGAGCGAAAGUAUUAAGUGAUCCACCUGGGGAGUACGAUUGCAAGAUUGAAACUCAAAGGAAUUGACGGGGGCCCGCACAAGCGGAGGAACAUGUGGUUUAAUUCGAUGAUACGCGAGGAACCUUACCUGGGCUUAAAUGCAUAACGACGGAUCGGGAAACUGGUCUUUCUUCGGACGGAAUGCAAGGUGCUGCAUGGCUGUCGUCAGCUCGUGCCGUGAGGUGUCGGGUUAAGUCCCAUAACGAGCGCAACCCUCAUCAUUAGUUGCCAGCGGGUAAUGCCGGGGACUCUAAUGAAACUGCCGGUGUAAACCGAGAGGAAGGCGAGGAUGACGUCAAGUCAGCACGGCCCUUAUGUCCAGGGCUACACACGUGUUACAAUGGUCAGUACAAAGGGCAGCUACCAGGCAACUGGAUGCUAAUCUCAAAAGCUGGUCACAGUUCGGAUCGGAGUCUGCAACUCGACUUCGUGAAGUUGGAUUCGCUAGUAAUCGCGCAUCAGCCAUGGCGCGGUGAAUACGUUCCCGGGCCAUUGUACACACCGCCCGUCAAGCCAUGGAAGCACGGGGGUACCACUGAAGUUCGUAACCGAGAGGAUCG
Molecule: ribosomal RNA, 1239 nt
Filed under: uncultured organism
Description: bacterial SSU rRNA
Rfam family: Bacterial small subunit ribosomal RNA
Source: RNAcentral